RNAcentral lists this ribosomal RNA (253 nucleotides) under uncultured bacterium. RNAcentral's name for it is "partial 16S ribosomal RNA". It matches the Rfam family "Bacterial small subunit ribosomal RNA", at positions 524 to 776 of the family's 1533-position model. The record is from RNAcentral.
UACGGAGGGGGCUAGCGUUGUUCGGAAUCAUUGGGCGUAAAGGGCGCGUAGGCGGCCAAUCAAGUCCGACGUGAAAUUCCUCGGCUCAACCGAGGGCCUGCGUCGGAUACUGCUUGGCUUGAGUCCCGGAGAGGGUAGUGGAAUUCCCAGUGUAGCGGUGAAAUGCGUAGAUACUGGGAGGAACACCGGUGGCGAAGGCGGCUACCUGGACGGGUACUGACGCUGAGGCGCGAAAGCUAGGGGAGCAAACAGG